UCCUGCCGGAGGCCAUUGCUAUCGGAGUCCGAUUUAGCCAUGCUAGUCGCACGGGUUUAGACCCGUGGCGGAAAGCUCAGUAACACGUGGCCAAACUGUCCUAUGGAUCGAGACAACCUCGGGAAACUGAGGCUAAUCUCGAAUAAGGCUUCCACUCUGGAGUGAGGGGAGCUGGAAACGCUCCGGCGCCAUAGGAUGUGGCUGCGGCCGAUUAGGUAGACGGUGGGGUAACGGCCCACCGUGCCGAUAAUCGGUACGGGUUGUGAGAGCAAGAGCCCGGAGACGGAUUCUGAGACAAGAAUCCGGGCCCUACGGGGCGCAGCAGGCGCGAAAACUUUACACUGCACGACAGUGCGAUAAGGGGACUCCGAGUGCGAGGGCAUAUAGUCCUCGCUUUUGUACACCGUAGGGUGGUGUACGAAUAAGGGCUGGGCAAGACCGGUGCCAGCCGCCGCGGUAAUACCGGCAGCCCGAGUGAUGGCCGCUAUUAUUGGGCCUAAAGCGUCCGU
RNAcentral lists this ribosomal RNA (509 nucleotides) under uncultured haloarchaeon. RNAcentral's name for it is "bacterial SSU rRNA". It matches the Rfam family "Archaeal small subunit ribosomal RNA", at positions 12 to 522 of the family's 1478-position model. Lineage: Archaea; Methanobacteriati; Methanobacteriota; Halobacteria; Halobacteriales; Halobacteriaceae. The record is from RNAcentral.